CCGACUGCUAUUUGGGUGAGAAUAAGCCAUGCGAGUUGAAUGGGAUCCCUAAAGUUCCCAUAGCAAACUGCUCAGUAACACAUGAUCAACUUACCCUAUAGAGAAAAAUAACCUCGGGAAACUGAGGAUAAUGUUUCAUAAUUGAAUUGGCUUGGAAAAGUUUUUCAAUGAAAAGGAUAAAAAAAAUGGUUUUUAUCUGCUAUAGGAUAGGAUCGUGUUCGAUUAUGGUUGUUGGUGAGAUAAUGGCUCACCAAGCCGAUAAUCGAUAGGGGCCGUGAGAGCGGGAGCCCCGAGAUGGGUACUGAGACAACGACCCAGGCCUUACGAGGCGCAGCAGGCGCGGAACCUCCGCAAUACACGAAAGUGUGACGGGGUUACCUAAAGUGUUCAAUAGAACUGUGGUAGGUGAGUAAUGUCCCCUACUAGAAAGGAGAGGGCAAGGCUGGUGCCAGCCGCCGCGGUAAAACCAGCUCUUCAAGUGGUCGGGAUAAUUAUUGGGCUAAAAGUGUCCGUAGCCGGUUUAGUAAGUUCCUGGUAAAAUCGGGUAGCUUAACUAUCUGCAUGCUAGGAAUACUGCUAUACUAGAGGGCGGGAGAGGUCUGAGGUACUACAGGGGUAGGGGUGAAAUCUUAUAAUCCUUGUAGGACCACCAGUGGCGAAGGCGUCAGACUGGAACGCGCCUGACGGUGAGGGACGAAAGCCAGGGGAGCGAACCGGAUUAGAUACCCGGGUAGUCCUGGCCGUAAACGAUGCAUACUAGGUGAUGGUACGGCCAUGAGCCGUAUCAGUGCCGUAGGGAAACCGUUAAGUGUGCCGCCUGGGAAGUACGGUCGCAAGGGCUAAAACUUAAAGGAAUU
RNAcentral lists this ribosomal RNA (857 nucleotides) under uncultured archaeon. Its description in RNAcentral is "bacterial SSU rRNA". It matches the Rfam family "Archaeal small subunit ribosomal RNA", at positions 23 to 866 of the family's 1478-position model. The record is from RNAcentral.